AUGGCCUCGAGCUCCCUCCCGCUCCUCGCCCUCCUGGCCCUGCUGGCCCUGCCAGGGCUCCGGGCGGCCGUGACCCUGCUGGAGUGCGGGGGGGACCUCCAGCCCCCUGGGGGGUCCCUGACUCUGCUCUGCCGCGCCUCCGGGUUCAAUUUCGGAAGCUCCUACAUGAGCUGGGUUCGGCAGAGUCCCGGAAAGGCGCUGGAAUGGCUCGCAGAGAUCAGCAGCAGUGGUGGCAGCACCGCCUAUGCGCCAUCAGUCAAGGGUCGGUUCACGAUCUCCAGGGACAACGGGCAGAGUUCGGUGACGCUGACCAUGAACAACCUCAAGGACGAGGAUUCCGCCGUUUAUUUCUGUGCCAAGGAUGCUUAUGGUGCUGGUGGUUACUAUGCUGGUGCUCAUUAUGUUGAUGGGCUCCGGGAGGCCAUGACCCUGCUGGAGUGUGGGGGGGACCUCCAGUCCCUCAGGGGGUCCCUGACUCUGCUCUGCCGUGGGAAUGGAUUCGAUUUUGGGAGUUUCACAAUGUUGUGGGUCCGCCAAAGACCCGGGAAGUCGCUGGAAUACAUCGCAGGGAUCAGCUACGGUGGCAGUACCAACUACGCGCCAUCGUUUCUCUGA
Molecule: non-coding RNA, 615 nt
Organism: Catharus ustulatus (Swainson's thrush)
Lineage: Eukaryota; Metazoa; Chordata; Aves; Passeriformes; Turdidae
Source: the annotation of a RefSeq genome assembly